CCGCCCGUCACAUCAUGAAAGCCGGUCGUACCCGAAGUCGCUGUGCCAACCGCAAGGAGGCAGGCGCCGAAGGUAUGGCUGGUGAUUGGGAUG
Molecule: ribosomal RNA, 93 nt
Filed under: uncultured bacterium
Lineage: Bacteria
Description: partial 16S ribosomal RNA
Rfam family: Bacterial small subunit ribosomal RNA
Source: RNAcentral